RNAcentral lists this transfer RNA (67 nucleotides) under Cherax cartalacoolah. Its description in RNAcentral is "tRNA-Asn". Lineage: Eukaryota; Metazoa; Arthropoda; Malacostraca; Decapoda; Parastacidae. The record is from RNAcentral.
UUGAUUAGAAGCCAAAAAGAGGCUUAUCACUGUUAAUGAUAGAAUUGAAAACCUUUUUCCUAUCAAA